Molecule: ribosomal RNA, 355 nt
Filed under: uncultured bacterium
Lineage: Bacteria
Description: bacterial SSU rRNA
Rfam family: Bacterial small subunit ribosomal RNA
Source: RNAcentral
AACGAACGCUGGCGGCAGGCCUCAAACAUGCAAGUCUAGGGGGUGCAGCAAUGCAUCACCGGCGGACGGGUGCGUAACGCGUGGGAAUAUACCUUUCGGUUCGGAACAACUGCGGGAAACUGCAGCUAAUACCGAAUGUGCCCUAACGGGGAAAGAUUUAUCGCCAAAGGAUUAGCCCGCGUAGGAUUAGCUAGUUGGUGAGGUAAUGGCUCACCAAGGCUCCGAUCCUUAGCUGUUCGAGAGGAAGAUCAGCCACACUGGGACUGAGACACGGCCCAGACUCCUACGGGAGGCAGCAGUUGGAAUCUUGGACAAUGGGGGAAAACCCUGAUCCAGCCAUGCCGCGUGAGUGAUG